Molecule: transfer RNA, 32 nt
Filed under: Biscutella maritima
Lineage: Eukaryota; Viridiplantae; Streptophyta; Magnoliopsida; Brassicales; Brassicaceae
Description: partial tRNA-Val
Source: RNAcentral
GUGUAAACGAGGUGCUCUACCUAACUGAGCUA